RNAcentral lists this transfer RNA (66 nucleotides) under Paramblynotus sp. ZJUH 20220012. Its description in RNAcentral is "tRNA-Trp". Lineage: Eukaryota; Metazoa; Arthropoda; Insecta; Hymenoptera; Liopteridae. The record is from RNAcentral.
AUAAUUUUAAGUUAAUUUUUAAACUUUAAACUUUCAAAGUUUAAAAUAUAUGUUAUAUAAAUUAUU